CCUCAAAUCAGGCAGGACUACCCGCUGAACUUAAGCAUAUCAAUAAGCGGAGGAAAAGAAACUAACAAGGAUUCCCCUAGUAACUGCGAGUGAAGCGGGAAGAGCUCAAAUUUAAAAUCUGGCGGCCUGUUGCCGUCCGAGUUGUAAGCUAGAGAAGUGCCGUCCGCGCUGGGGCCAUGUACAAGUCUCCUGGAACGGAGCGUCGUGGAGGGUGAGAACCCCGUCUCUGACAUGGACCUCCCGGGGCAUCGCGAUGGCGCUCUCAAAGAGUCGAGUUGUUUGGGAAUGCAGCUCCAAAUGGGUGGUAAACUCCAUCUAAAGCUAAACAUUGGCGAGAGACCGAUAGCGAACAAGUACCGUGAGGGAAAGAUGAAAAGAACUUUGGAAAGAGAGUUAAACAGUACGUGAAAUUGUUGAAAGGGAAACGCUUGAAGUCAGUCGCGUCGGCCCGGGAUCAGCCCCGCAACCGCGAGGUGCACUCCCCCGUCGACGGGUCAGCACCAGUUUCGACCGUUGGAGAAAGGUCGGGGGAAUGUGGCAUCCUGGAUGUGCUUAUGCCCCCGAUCGCAGUCAUCGGUUGGGAUUGAGGAACUCAGCACGCCGCAAGG
RNAcentral lists this ribosomal RNA (608 nucleotides) under uncultured Basidiomycota. RNAcentral describes it as "LSU rRNA". It matches the Rfam family "Eukaryotic large subunit ribosomal RNA", at positions 1 to 609 of the family's 3401-position model. The record is from RNAcentral. Lineage: Eukaryota; Fungi; Basidiomycota.